AUCUGUUCCCAAACUUGGAAUGAAAGUAGAAUCUUUUUCAACACAGUUCUUGAGGCAGCUAUUAUCGAAAAUAAUGGAUUUGGCACUUGUGAUGAUUCCUGAGGCUGAAUCUGGACUCAGCAAGAAAGAGUGCCAUGAUUGAUUAGCCAUGUCUGCCAUUAGCUCAAAACUAGGGACAGAUCCUGCCAGAUACUUGCUGACAACAGCUUAGAAGUUUCCCUUGGCCAUACAAACCUUCUUAAAGGACUGACUGUUAGCAGUAAUGGAAAAUUCAGAUGGAUUACUGAUGCCACCCCUGGAGAGGUUCCUGAAUUCUGCUCAACACAAAAUCACCAUGAUUGAUGCUCAAGCUAGGCCUAAGUGUGGCAGUCUCUUACUGGUGCCUGCAGAUCCAGAUAUAGAACUUCCUCAGCAACUCCAGCAUCGUAUCUGCCUGCAUGCUGUCAUGUUUCCCAAGGUGAUGAUAAUGGAAUAAACCUUUGAAACU
Long non-coding RNA from Mus musculus (house mouse), 487 nucleotides. RefSeq annotates it as predicted gene 15669. The transcript has 3 exons. The record is from RefSeq and is a predicted model, not a curated record. NCBI's taxonomy places the organism in Eukaryota, Metazoa, Chordata, Mammalia, Rodentia, Muridae.